RNAcentral lists this long non-coding RNA (33358 nucleotides) under Zostera marina. RNAcentral's name for it is "long non-coding RNA (ZMAR_LNC005186)". The record is from RNAcentral. Lineage: Eukaryota; Viridiplantae; Streptophyta; Magnoliopsida; Alismatales; Zosteraceae.
UUGAUCCCUUGCUGGCUGAUUUCCUCGCAAGACUCCCUAGCUGGCGACUUGGAAAAAAGUCGAUCACUUUUUUCGAAAAAGUCGAGGAGCUUUUGUCGUGAGUAUCUUUGAGUCACAGACGGCGCCAACUGAUGGGGGUGAAACCCGACUAGUACUCCAAGACGCGCAAGCAAGCGCCAAGCGGGGAACUCCGCGGGAAACCGGACCGGAACUCAAGUGUGCAGAGCUCUGCUUCGCUAGGAAUCCUUCUUCUCCAAAUGACUUGCCUUUAAUGAGUGGGGGGUGCCCUCUAUUUAUAGGGGUUCUUAUGGGGGCAAUAUGGUCAUUUGGGCAGUAACCGCCUAACUGCCUANNNNNNNNNNNNNNNNNNNNNNNNNNNNNNNNNNNNNNNNNNNNNNNNNNNNNNNNNNNNNNNNNNNNNNNNNNNNNNNNNNNNNNNNNNNNNNNNNNNNUCUGGGGGUCGACUUUUCCUGGUGAUCGACUUUACUCAAAAGUCGAUCCCAGGGAAGUCGAUCCUCAGGAAAGUCGAUCUUCCUAGGAUUCGACCUGGGACCUCCCCAACCCUAGAAUAGAUACCUCAACUCAUCUUAGGCUAUCCGGACUUCUAGUUGCUGGUAGGUUGUGACCGUGUUCGGGAUACUGUAUCACCAGUACUCCCCCCUCCUCUGCGUAUUAGAUACUUUGGGAUACUUCUUUUAGUACUAUGGUCUGCGUGUCGGACCCUGUACUAUCAGUUCCCCCCUCUUUGCGUGCUGGGAUGUGGAUUUCUGGUGAUGUCCCUGGAUGUAAGAUCCUCUCUCACCAGGUACAUAUAUUGAAAAUCGAAUCUUGGUCCUCAAAUAUCUUAAUAAUGACUUUGACAAACUUAGCUAAUCAAGUUGUGUAUAUCGACCUCAAUCUAUUAGUGUCAAUGCUUAAGUGAUUGAAGAAAAUCUACCAUUUGUGGUGAUUUCUCUCUUCCUACAAAUGCAUAUGUUGAAUUUGAUGAAGAAAAGGAUUAGAUCAGAUCAUAUAUGUUCUUAUGUCGAUAUGCAUUGGCUAACCAUAAUUAUUAAAAUGGAUGAAAAUCUCAUGCAAAAGUUAGUGUGAUUUUGAUGGCUUGCAAAGAAACUGAAUCAAGAAAUGCAAGCAGAUAAUAAAAAGUUUGUUUUCAAUUCGCAAUAAUUGACAUCAAAUAUUUAUUUUCAUUUAGAUGAAGAUCCAUUAUUAACCGAAUCAACAUUGAAAAUCCAACAUUAAAUUAAAAUGAAAAUUACUAUUACUAUGUUUUUUAAUUAAAUAAAUGUUUAUUUAAUUAAUUAAAUAAUUUCUGUUUUUAUUUAAUUAAUUAAAUAAAUUACUGUUUUUAAUUAAAUAAAUAAUUAAUAAUGUUUUUAAAUAAAUAAAUAAUUUACUGUUUUUAAAUAAUUUUAAAAUUAAUGAAAUUCUAUAAUUUAUUUACUGUUUUUAAUUAAAUAAUUAAUAAUGUUUUUAAAUAAAUAAAUAAUUUACUGUUUUUAAAUAUUUUUAAAAUUAAUGAAAUUUUUUAUUUUAUUUACUGUUUUUAAUUAAAUAAUUAACAAUUUUUUUAAAUAAUUAAAUAAUUUAUUGUUUUUAAAUAAUUUAAAAAUUAAUUAUUUUGUUUUAUAUUUGUAUGUUGUAGGUUCUGAAUUCGGAUUUGGAAUUCGAAUUAAUUAUUAAUUAAACCGAUCUUUCGUAAAAUUCGGAUUUGGAAGCUAUAUUGCGGUAAAAAAUUAAAUUUAUUUAUUUAAUUAACUAAUUUUUAAAUUUAUAGUAAAAUGAAAUGAUUAAAUUAUCAAUAGAAAUAAUAAUUAGUAUAUUAUUAAUUGAUUAAAAUUUAUUAAAUAAUAAUAAUUAAUAACAAUUAGUAUAUUAUUAAAUUAUUAAAUAACAAUUAAAUUAACUAAUUAUUAAAUUGAAAUAAUAAUGAUUAAUUUGCAUGAAAAUAAUUUGUAAAUUAAUAAUGUAAAUUAAUUGCCAAUUGAAAGAUUUAAUUAAGAAUUUAAUUAAUUUGCAUGAAAUUAAAAAUUGACUUAUUAAAUUGAAUAUUAAUUAAUUAUUAAUUAAUUUACAAUUAUUAAAUAUUAAUUAAUUUCCAUGAAAUAAAAUAAUUUGUUAAUAAUGAAAUAUUGAAAUAUUGAAAAAUUUAAUUUUAAAAUUAUUUAAUUAAUCUUAAUACAAUUUAAUUAAUUUGCAUGAAAUUAAUUUGUAUAAAAUUUGAAAUUUGUUAAUUAUUAAUGAUUAAUUUGUAUGAAAUUAUAGAAAUCUUAAUUAAUAAUUAUUAAAUUGAAUGAUUUUAAAUUGAAAUAAUUAUCAUUAAUUUGCCAUGAAAUUAAAUUUGAUAAUUAAUGAAAUGAUUAUUUGUUUAAAAAUGAAUGAUUAUUUAAUUAUUUGUUUAAUAAUUAAUAAUUAUUUAUUUUUAUUUUUUUAGAUUUUAAAAAUGCCACGUAGAGUGAAGCAAUUACCUCGUAAGAGGACUUUACCACCCAAUCCCCAAGAUGCUUUCCGGUUUUAUCUCCCGGUUCAUCCUGCACCAGCACAUGUACGUCCAGCACCAGAACCUGUACGUCCAGCACCGGCACCUGUUCGUCCAGCAUCGGCCCCUCCAGUUCCGCAACCAGCAACUCCGAAAAAAGUCGUUUAUGAAACGGAUUCGGAAUAGUUCAAUAAUUAGCUAGAUUUUCCAAAAAAAAUUGAACUUAAUAUUAAUUGAACGAUAAUUAAUAUUGUAAUAGUCAAUUAAGUUUUAUCUAAUUAAUUAUAAUUCGAUAAAAAUCUAAUUUUUUAGGAUAAUGUCGAACCUCAUGAAAGUACCCGAUAAAGCUUGGAUGAGUUUAGAUUGGUUUUCGAAAGAAUACGGUAAAGGGUUAACAGCUUUCACUAAUUUCGCCAUUUCGAAUUAGACUCACCUAGAAGGUUAUUUACCUUGUCCAUGCUCGUCCUGCAUGAAUAGUGAAGUGAUUCUUAUAAAGGAGAUGAAAAAGCAUGUUUUCAUAAAUGGUUGGUUGAAACAUUACGACGUUUGGACACAUCACGGAGAGUUACCGAGUAGAUAUGCUGAGAAAAAAGUGAAACGAAAAGAGACAGUGCCGGAAACUGGUAAUGAUAUGAUUGGAUUGGUUCAUGCGGUUUACGGAGAACAUGUAGUUGAGAAUACAGUCGACGAAGAAUUUCUCGAAUACGAGCCUGUCCAUGAAGAUUCAAUCGAUGUAGAUCCAGUCGACGAAGAUCAAGUCGACGAAGAUCCAGAGCACAGAUAUGACGAUUCGUUCUUACGCCGUCUAAAAGAAGGUGAAAAACAGUUAUAUCCAGGUUGCACAGAGUUUUCCAAAUUAUUUUUUAUCUUGGAAUUGUAUCAGUUGAAAUGCGACAAUCAUUGGAGUGAUAAAAGUUUUCAGAAAUUAUUAUCCAUCAUACGUAGUGCUAUUCCAAAUGGGGAGUCAACCAUUUCGAAAACCAUGUACCAUGCGAAAUCGGUGGUUCGUGACUUGGGCCUCAAUUAUACGAAAAUCGAUGCAUGUCGCAACGAUUGUAUUUUAUAUCGAAAUGAGUAUACAGACGCAGAAACUUGCCUGAAUUGCGGAACGUGUAGGUGGGUCGUCGAAGGCAUUCGGAAAAACAAACGUGUUCCAGCGAAAUGUCUUCGUCACUUUCCGUUCAUUCCGCGUUUGAAGAGAUUGUAUCUGUGUUCCAAAAUUUCUGAAGACAUGAUAUGUCACCAUUCCAAACAUAAAGACGACGGAUUUCUUCGGCAUCCAGCUGAUUCUUUACAAUGGAAGAAAUUUGACGAGGUUCAUCCCAAAUUUGCAUCCGAACCACGUAAUGUGAGACUUGGUUUAGCAACUGAUGGAUUUAACCUCGUAAAACGAAAGAUAAUUUGAACGCGAGGUUGGAUUUACAAUCGAUGAGAAUCCGAAAAGAACUUCAUCCUAUUCGACGGGGAGAAGAAUGAGACAUUCCGAGUGCGUGUCUCAACUUAACGACGAAAGAAAAGAUAUUAUUUCUGUCAGUGUUUAAAUCCCUUCGACUUCCCGAUGAAUAUUGUUCUAACAUUUCUAGAAACGUGAAAAUGAAAGAAAGAAAAUUUAUCGGAUUGAAAAGUCACAGUUAUGAAUGGAUUAAAAUUUUAGACAUCAGAAUUGACAAAUCGAAGAUCGACGUAAAAUAACGGUAUUUUUCUUUCGGCUACAACAUCAACGUUUGCUAAAUCUCCAAAUGAUGCUCCGUUGGUAGCAGAAAUUGAAUAUCAUGGAUUAUUAGAAAAUGUUUUCGAAAUUUGCUACGGUCACACGACUAAAUAUUGUCUGUUUGAAUGUAAGUGGUACGAUCCUGAAAAAGCAGGUACAAAAGUCGAUAAUUUUGGUGUCGUUUCAGUGAACACGACACGGGGAAAAUUUGGAAAGGAAUCUUUCAUUUUGGCAAAUCAGGUUCAACAAUGUUUCUACAUUCAAGAUCCGAUAGAAUCUGAAUGAAGUUCCGUCCUUAAAAUACCAAAUAGAGAUAUUUUCGAUGUUGAUAAUGAUGAUUGUUGUAAUUAAAUUAUAAAGUAUUACAUUACAAUAUAAUUUAAUAUUUUGAAUAUAAUAUCAUGUUAAUUAUAAAUAUUUCUUUUUUUCAGUAAAAAAUGAGUCAACUACUUGCAAUCGUCGAACGAUAUGAAUGACUCAUGCGACUAAACCAGAUUCAACGUAGUUUGUACAGAAACAUAGAUUAUUAUUGUCGUGUUUUUGCUUGUUUUCGUUGCGGAGUCAACGGUCAUCAUUUUCACAACUGUUCAAAAAAUGGUCGAGAAAUCCUCAAAUAAUGGAAACCGGUCAGAUUUUAGUGUUAGGAUACGAAGCUAGAGUUGUAGGCACACAUUCAUUCAAAAUCGAAUACAACUCUUCUUACGACGAUUUCGAAGAUUUGUUGUGUCUAAUAAUAAAGAAUAUAAAUUACAAUAGGAAAAAUGUUUGGUUGUUGUGUCAGACUAAGACCCCAUAUACGGGUGUCUGGAUAUGUAUUUAAAUUAACUAAUUUUAUUUUAAAAUUUAAAUAUUUCAGAUUAUGUUUACUUUUUUCGUUCUGAUCGGUGUGAUAACACCUUUCAUGGCAUUGGCGAUGGUUACAUCUCGUCGCUCUUUUGAAGAGUCAAGCUCAAGUGGUCAGUUCAUUAUUCAUAUUUUAAAUAUUAUCAUAAUUUUUAUUAAAUAUUAAUUCUUAAAUAUGUAAAUUAAUUAGAUGCGAGACCAUCCACAUCGAAUGUGCCUCUAAAGAAGAAGGGUCGUGGUCGCACAAAAGACCAUCCCCAUACCCAUCCAGAAAAAAGUACGAAAUGGAAGGUCAUGUUUGAAAACACGAACCAAGCGACGGAUGAAAUGACGAAGAAAUUAACCACAAAAAUGGCUCUUUUAGCAAAAGACUAUACUUUCUUCCCGUACAACAUUGAGUGAUGUCAUCAACCACAACAAAAUUUUCAGGACGCGUUGAAAAUAUUAACUGUAAGUAUAUAUAUUUUUUAUAAUAUUUAUUAAUUUUCCAAAACUUAUAAGUUUUGAAUAUGUAGGCUGAAUACGAUUUAAAUGGAAGGAAAGUUGUACAAACUUAUAUCAAUGGUAGGUUGAACAAACUCUAGAGGAGCAACCAUAAUUCUUUGGUUAAAACUUAUGGCUUGGAUCCUAAUAUGAGAGAAGAAGAUAAUUUAGCGACUCUUCCACCGUAUGUCAGCAAACCUCAAUUUCUGAAUAAAUUUAGACAACAUCGAUCGGAAAGAGGACAGGUACGUAUAUGUGUAUAUAUAUAUUUAUUAUAUUAAUAAAUUUAAAAACUUAUUAUUUUUUAUAAUUUCAGCAAAUUUCUGAGAUAAAUACCGCGAACCGAGCGAAUCAAAUGGCACAUCACGCUGGUUCAAAAGGAUUAGCGCAACGACGUCUUGAAUUGGUAAUUUAUUCAUAAUUUAUAUCUAAUUUAAUUAUAUAUUAAUGAAUUAUGUGAAUAUAGAUGCAACAAGGAAGGAGUGAAGUCGAAACUUGGUCAGAGACUUUACAAAUGACAUAUAAAGGAAGCGAUAAAGUUGUAAGUUUUUUUUUAAAAUUAUUUAUAUUUUAUAAUUUCUAUUAUCAUUGUUUGAUUUUGUUAUUCUUUCAACUUGAAGCCACAGAUUUUAUCAGAAGUCAAGAGGCAAAAUCGUGGGCUGAAUCUGAAGCAAUGACUCCAUUUGUAAGUUCCAUUGAUUAUUUUAAACAUAUUUCGCAUUUACUAUUUAUUUACUUUUUAUAAUGUAGCAAUUUAUCGAAGCGACGGUCAACAAGACUUUCGGAAAAAAUAAAAAGAAUAGGAUCAUAGGAAUUGGAGAACCUGCCAGUAUGGUGAGCACAACGAACGAAAGAUGGGCUUCUCCAAAUUGGAAAGAAAAAGAGCCGAUCUCCGAAAACACGACUACUGAUGCAGCACCAGAUGCAGCUUGGUCGGAAAAAUUCAAAGAAUUAGAGGUAUUUUAAAUAUAUUUCAAUAAUUUUGUAGAUAAUCUAACUCAUUUUUGUUUUCAUUUUCAGAACAAGUGUAACGAGAGUCAGAAGACGUCUCCAAAUAUAAGAAGAAGUUCAAUGCCAUGAAAUCUUAUAUCAAGAAACUCAAUAAGACUUUGAAGACUUCCGGACUCGAUAUGACGCACAUGGCUUCCAUUUCAAAGUCCACCAUACCGUCUGCAUUAGAAUCAGAUAUUUCGGAUUCUGAUUCAGAAGACUCGAUUUCAGACGAGUGUUGAUUAAACUAUUUUUAUAUUUGUUUAUUCAAACAUCGAAUGUUUAACGAUUCUGUAUUUUAGUUUAUUUUUAAUAAAAACAUCGAUUUCAAUUUCAAUUUAAAAAUCGCUUUCUCAAAUAUCGAUUUCUAAUUAAAAAAACAACGAUUCGAACGCAAAAUAUAUAAGCUUGUUUUAAAAAGAAAUUAAAACAAACAUUGUAUGGCGGAUUUCCACCAUUCAUACUCUUCUAUUAAGGUUUAGAUGGCGGAAAUCCACCAUCUAAAUAUGGGCACAAUCGCCCUCUCCCAGGAAUAGAUGGCGGAUAUCCGCCAUCUAUAAACUUAGGGAACCGCCUGAUGUACUUUCAAUGGCGGAUUUCCACCAUCUAAUGUUACAAAGAUAGUCGGCAGACAUCCGCCAUCAAUAAAAUUAACCGCCAUCAAUGAAUUGGCGUCAAACUUUUUCCGCGCCAUAUUUUAGAUGGUGGAAAUCCACCAUCUAAAAAUUUUCAGUUCCCGCGAAAAUUUUCAGAUUAGAUACAAUUUUCAGUUCCCGCGGAUUUCCGCCAUCUAUACAAUUUUUGGUGAGAAAUGGGGAUGGAUAAUAGAUGGCGGUCUUUAGAUGGCGGUUAUGGGGUUUUAAUGGCGGUGUCCAAGAUGACGGUCUUUAGAUAGCGGAUUUCCGCCGACGAUCACUUUAGAUGGCGGAUUUCCGCCAUCUAAAGACUACCAUACAAGGUCUUAUUUCUUGUAGUGUCUCUUCCAAGCUAGAUGACAUCGUCAAUUCUUUAGACUCACUUCAUAAGGAGUUUUCUGAUUCCUCAGCGUUAUGUUUUGAUUCCUCAACGUUGGUAUCGAUGUUUACAUCAUUUCCAACAUAAUACCAUGUUAAAUCGACGAGGUGCUCGAGUUGGCGAGAUGACCGGCUUUGAGCCGACAGGGUUGUUCAACGGAGUUGCCAUAGAAAGAAGAGGGAAACUGGGAUUUUGAAGAACGCUUAACCAAAGUGAACCGGUGGUUAAGCAGACUGGGUUUAGAAAGAAAUUAGAGUGAAAUUACUUUCUGUAUAGAUUGAAUGAUAUUGAGAGUUAAUUACAAUUAUCUUAUAAUGAAUUCACUAACUAUUACAUAACUAACUCUCAACUAAAAUAAAACUAAAUUCAAUUCUUAAUUUCGUAGCCCAACACUUGAAUCUGGUCCAUAUACAAUUGGCCCAUUUUCUUUUAUUGAAACUAUUGCGCAUUAGCCCUCCAGCUUCUUUUAUAUCCUAAACUUAAGUGUUGGGUAAAUUGUCUGCACAGUAAACACUUCACAGAAACUAUUAACAGAUAUUGAACUUAAUAGAAAUUGCAGUUUAGUCCUGAGUUCAGUUUAAUAUAAUUUCAGUAAUUCUGUUUAUUGUUUUAAACACUGUUUAAGGUUUAUUAAAUCCUUUAAGAACUAAUGUCCAGGGUACGACUUCGGAUUUCGGUAUACCAUUUACAUGCUUACAUACAUGAGAAGACAACUUCAAGUCGUAAAUCGAUCGCCAUUAUUUUUAAACAAACGUGAGAUAUUCUUAAGGGUCGUUGAUGAAGCACGUAAUAUGCUACUAGGGGGCUCGGGGGGUUGCGAGAUGAGCCGGAGGCUUUGUAGUCUACGAUGUGCGCUCUACGUCAAUGUACCUACAGAGAGGAGGGGAAUCGGUGACUCAGCAAGGGAGUCGGCUAUUCGGGCUCCUGAAGGUGCUCUGGUUGGAGUGUGUUGUCAAGUAUGUUGGAGAGGAAUGAGAUGAUGAAUGAGGACCCCCAGAGGGUCCCUUUUAUAGGGUCCUUGGGGCGUUUCUCAUUCAUUAUUCCUGGGGCCCACGCCAUUAUGGUGCCCUAUUGAUGGUGCCAUAAUGAUGCUGGCCAAGUCAAGUAACGCCUGGGAGUUGGCGACUUAGGUGUGGGAGUCGGCGACUCAGGGUGGAACCAUCGAUUCCCCAUGAGCCAGGUUGACAGUCUACCAGAACUGACCAACUAGGCCUGGAAUCGAUGGCUCACUACUGGAGUCGGAGACUUAGUAGUCCCAGUCGUCGAUUCCCAGUGUUGACUUGAGUACUUGACGUAGACAUUUGCCCGCAACCGUGGAGCUCUCCGGGGGUCCGGCAUAAAGCGAUGGAACCCUAGUCCUUGUUGAAGGGCAUUGUUGGGAGUAACUGACGUAAUCAGGCAUUUCUCACCAGUACUCCCCCCUAAAGAGAGCACAAGAAACAUGCGUGUACCGCCAGUAUCCCCCCAAGCAAGGAUAUUGUGUGAUCCGCAUCACUAUCAGAUGGGAUUGAAUCAUUGCGGCCAUAGCGACACAGUGAUCUCGUAUCCAUCACUAUCAGAUGGAUUGAUUAAUUAUCAGAAUCUAGUUCCAGGCCAACGGAACUACGUGUUUAUAGUCCAUCCCUGAUCAAGGGCGACUUUUGCUGUGUCAUCAAGGCCAAAGCGACAAGAUGAAUUGACUCACUAUCAGAGUUUGAUUCUGGCCGAAGCGACAGAAUUUAUUGAUUCACUAUUAGAAUCUAGUUCACUAUUAUAACUAAUGUUUAUAGUCAACUCUGAUCAAGAGCGACUUUUUGUCCACAACGAUGGUUACCCCAUCAAGGCCAAAGCGACAAGAUGGGUUGAGAUCAUUAAGGCCAAAGUGACAAAAUAAUCUCUAGUCUAUCAAGGCCAAAGAGACAAGAUAGAUUGACUCACUAUGAGAGUCUGACUCACUGUUAGAGUCUGGUUCACUAUUAGAACCUAAUUCACUAUUAGAAUCUUACCUGCAAAAAAGAAAACAUCCUGCAAAAUAACUAGAUCAGUCUAAAAUGCAUAUUAUUAUUGACUUAUUGAACUUACCGUGCGAUUUUACCUUCCGUGAUGCCCCUCCUUUGCUCAAAUUGAUCAUUGGUAAAUCUGACCGAAGCGACAGAAUUUACCGUGCUCAAAUUUUUUGACGACUUCUGGCCGAAGCGACAGAAGUGUCGGGAGAGCUUGUAAUACUCCCCCUCGAAAUGUGACGACUUUUAGCCGAAGCGACAGAAGUGUCGGGAGAGCUUAUGAUACUCCCCCUCGAAAUGUGACGACUUCUGGCCGAAGCGACAGAAGUGUCGGGAGAGCUUGUGAUACUCCCCCUCGAAAUGUGAGGACUUCUGGCCGAAGCGACAGAAGUGUCGGGAGAGCUUGUGAUACUCCCUCUCGAAAUGUGACGACUUCUGCCUGAAGCGACAGAAGUGUCGGGAGAGCUUGUGAUACCCCCCCUCGAAAUCGUGCCAUUAUGACACAUAACCUUUGGAAUGAGUAGUUUGAUUGUCAAUGGGCUAUCUUUUGUUUUUUCUUUCUAAUCUUUCAUAUAAAUUACCCUUUAAAUUAUAACUAAGGCCCGAAACUAGAUUCACAAGUCGUAAUUUAGCCACUCUGUAUGUAAAUUAGACUCUGCUAACCCUAUUGCUAGCCACUCUGGGUGUAGACUUGGUCAUACGAAUCGUAGCUCAGCCUACGGUUAAAUUUGCGGAUAAUUUAUACCUCCAGAUUAACGUAGAGUUAUAAAAUAUAGAGCAAACGACGAAUCCAAAAAAUAUUCGAAAUUCGAGGGUUACCUUUGUAAUUUUUAUUUACGUCUUAGUUUGAACCCUGAUGCCGGUAAGAGCUUAUGAUACUCCCCCCUGAGAUGUGACGACUUCUGGCCGAAGCCACAGAAGUGUUGGAGAGAGCUUGUGAUACUCCCUCCUGAAAAUAUGUUGUUUACCCUGAGUCGGCGACUAGGUGCCCCAAUCGUCGACUCCUAUGUUUUGGGUAACUGUGAGAGUUGUUUUGAAAUUUCCCCGCCUUGAGUCAGCGACUCCCUCUGGGAAUCUUCGACUCCUAUUGUGAAACGUAGGAUCUCUCAGAAGAUCGUUGGAGAUAUUUGGAGAAUAUAUGCAAAUUUUUCAAUUAAGGAAAUAUAUCUCUCAAAUUUUGCAAAAUAGUUACCGGAAUCGACGAUUCAGCAUGGGAAUCGUCGACUCGGGCGUGAUUUCAGGGAUUUGGAGAUCGAUUUCCGAUUCCUUCUCUUGCAAUUUCUGGAUUUUCUAGGGGGUUUUUGCAAUUUUCCCAGGGGCUAGAAAUAGUGGCGAGCGAUUCACACUUCUCACUCAACUUUUCCCCAAAUUGAAUCGCCUAACCAAACCCUAGAACCCUCUGUCACCGAUUCCCUAGUUCAAUUCAACUCGAGUCGACGACUCCGAGAUGGCAAGAACUAGUCCUCACCAAACUGAUGCCGAGGCCGCCGCCAUGAUCGCGGAGAUGGCCAGAGAAGACAUCAUCGUCGAGAUGCUGAACACCGUUGAGUCGCCGAUUCCAUCUCCUCCCAGAGACGUUGAAUCGACGAUUCCGGUAGUUCCAUCUGCCGACGACAAUCUGAGUACUUCUGUGCAUGAACUGCUGGAGCCUAUGGCUGGGUGGACGAUUCCCUCUGUGGGAUCGACGAUUCCGGACAAGGUUCCGGAAGUCAUGCCAGAGGCUGAGCAGGGAGAAAUACUUGGUGAGUCCACGAAUCCCACUAGCUUCGGGGUCGCCGAUUCCCAGGGGUUUAAAGAAGAAAGCCUUCUUCAAGAGAAGGGAUAAGAUGGUCGCCGACUCAGAAGCAGCUAAUAUACGCUAUGAGUCGGCGACUGGCCAGGAUGAAUCGACGACUCCCGUAGUUGAGUCGGCAAUUCCUAUUGUAAUAGUGAAUGAUUCAAGUACGCAUCCUGAGCCACUUGUUGUAAAUGCUAAGGGUCUCAUCGUAUCUGGGAUGAACCCUAAUAAACGACAAUCUGAGGACAAUGGUUCCAAGAAGAAGAGACGACGACGAAGCCAUGGCAAGGGUAAAAUCCAUGUGCCUGGCCAAGAGGAGAAGGCUGAGAAUCCUCAAAACUUGAAUUUCGACAAGGAGUUAGUCUUCGAACGUAAAGUUCCCAACCCCGCCCCUAAUGCGGGUCAACGCUUGAGAGAAAGAACUCCUCCACCUCCAGUCGAGAUGGAUCUUGGUCAUGAUCCUUAUGCUGAUUUCCCUAGCUACAUUGGGAUAGUGAACCCGACUGGAUAUGCGCAUUGCGAGAAGUUUGUUAAUGGCGCAAUACAGUUGCUCCCUUCGACCGAUCGGGCGAGGGUCGAUUUGAACAAGUGAUGACUAUGGCGACGCUUACGCGUCAAUCUGAUGUACAUCUCCCUUCCAUCAUCAGCGCGAGCGAGGCUCGAGAUCUUUUGAGGGGGAUGAGGAUUUCGGGACACCUCCGCUUCUGGAUGUCUCAAUACCAGCCUACGAACCUCCCACCACCGGGGUUCCAGGCCUUGCCGAAGAUGUAUUUCAAGCACUUCUCUGAGCUGCCAAUUCCAGAGCUCAUGAGUGAGAUAUUGCUUACUUUCGAGACCUCGCUGUCACAACUACCAGCAGGAUUCUUUGUAACGCUGCGAGGAUUCUCCAACAUCUGUUGGAGCUUGAACAUCACUCCCACUCCGCACUUUUUCCUCAACUAUUAUAAGUUGUGCAAGGAUGGGAAGGUUGGAUCAGGUCGUCUCGGGUUGGCGCGACGAAACCUUGAUCGCAACCUGGUUGAUGAUCUUCCUUCUAACCACGGAGUGUGAAAGAAGGAGUUUGUUUUUGUCAAUUCUGAAUUUCUUCCCGGGAGUCGGGAAAGUUGGGCGAACCCGAACUGCACGCAGCUGAGCGCAAACCUAGGCUUAAUGGCGGAUGAUGUGAUUGCCACCACCAAGAUUGCCAAGGCUCUGAAAGCUAAUAACUUGCUUCCUGGCGUGCCUUUUGUCCUCUGCCAGCGUGAGGACUAUACUUUUGAAGAUGUUGAGGAGGCUCUGAAACCUCCCACGAAGGAAGAGAUUGCGAGCGGGAAGAAGCGCACACUCUUGUUCUUUGAUGCUGCCGCUCUGCACAUGGCUGCGAGGUACCGACGGGCGAAGCUGAUCAGAUUGGAGAAAACUAAUGCUUCCAAGCCCAAAAGUACUUUUGAGAGGGGUUCAAGUUCUCAAGCUGCCCUUGAGAAAUCAGGUUUCGCACCCUACAUGAGUGGCGUGGCUCUCCCUGACUUUAUGGCUGAUCCACAAGUCAGAGCGGAUGCCAUGUCCAUCCUCAUGGCGAAACCUGGGAGAUGGGUUCGGAGUGAGCUCAUGACAGCUCUGAAUGCUGUAAGUGCUUCUAAUCUUCCGAAAACAUUUUUAUUUAUUUUUUAUUGUUUGCUAACUUGUUUUGUUUUUGUAGGUUUGCUAUAUGGCCCAUGCGUGUUUCGGCAUGGACUCGAUUAAUAACGUCCAAAGAAUUUUUUAGAAUAAGUGACGUAAGCACUUAGAACUUUUUUCGAUCCUCAGACUCUAGAUUUCAUUCCCUAAUAUGUAGUUGAACUCUGGCCGAAGCGACAGAGUAACUUUUUACCCUCAUCAAAGCCAUAGCGACAAGAUGGGGUUGGAUCUUUAAGGCGAUAGCGACAAAACAAUUUUUCAUCUAUUAAGGCCAUAGCGACAGAAUAGACUUUUGUAUGUGUUGUGGGUACUUAGAACCUCUUGGGGUUAGGUUCACUUAUGCUUAUCAACUACCUAAGACUCUACACUUAGACCCUAAUGUGUAGUUGAACUCUGGCCGAAGCGACAAAGUAACUUUUGGACCCACAUCAAAGCCAAAGCGACAAGAUGGGGUAGGAUCGUUAUGGCCAAAGCGACAAAACGAUUUUAAUCUAUUAAGGCUGAAGCGACAAAAUAGAUUUCUAAUUAAGGUAGGGUGCUAGUUAGAGUCUUAGGUAGGUGAUUUUGAAAGAAAUGCCAACUUUAUUGACUUUUUGAAAUAAGAAUUACAAAGAUAAAAUCUAACUAUUCUACUUUGUAAUUUGUACUAGCAUAUAUACUAAGAGGACCUAAGAAAUAAUGUGUUCAAUACUAAGCGUAGUAUUGCUGCAUAUUGUCCGCGUGCCAGGUGUUUGGAACCAUUGUUCCAUCCUGCCGCCGUAGACGAUAAGUUCCUGACCUUAUCUCCUCUUCGACGAUGUAGGGACCUUCGAAGUUGGAUGACAGCUUAUUCCUUGGUCUAUUCCUCUCAGUUAUGCUAGCCUUCCGCAUGACGAGAGUUCCUGGCAGGAAGACUUUUUUGCGUACUUGGCGAUUGUGGUAUCUCAAUACGCUUGCCUUGUACGAUUUGUUCCGCAAGUCCGCCUCGUCACGGGUUUCAUCCCUCAACUCUAGCUCUGUAGCUAGAUUUUGGUCAUUUGUUUGUUCGACGUACUUAGAGACUCGGUAUGUUGGUAUACUCAUCUCAAUUGGUACAACUGCCUCCACUCCAUAGGUCAUAGCGAAAGGAGUGUUGCCCGUGGGGUUUUUACUUAUUGUGCGAUAUGCCCAUAGGAUUUCGCACAACUAGUCUGCCCAGGCCCCUUUGGCUGAUUCGACUUUCUUUUUCAAUCCUUGUACGAUGGCCUUGUUGGUUACCUCCACUUGUCUGUUUGCCUGAAGUCGGUAAACGGAAGCAAAGUGGAGUUUUAUGUUUAGGUCCUCGCACAUACUUGAAAAUUUCCCCCCUGUGAAUUGGGUACCAUUGUCUGUGACAAUAUGUUGGGGGACUCCGAAUCAACAUACUAUGGAGCGGUAGACGAACUUGACUGUCGCAUCCUGAGUGAUCUUCGCUACAGCCUGAGCCACGACCCACUUUGUAAAGUAAUCUACUGCUACAAAGAUGAAUCGAGCUUGGGAUGUUGAAGGUGGGAAUGGUCCUACGAUGUCCAGUCCUUACCUUGCAAACGGGAUCGAGCUCAGAAUCGGAGUCAUAUCCGCGGAUGGUUUCUGUUGCAUUGGACUAUGCAACUGACAUGCUCGGCACUUGCGGACGUAAAUGCGAGCUUCUAACCGUAGGGUGGGCCAAUAGUACCCUAGCCUUAUGAUUUUGAAGGCAAGUGCUCUUCCUCCCUCAUGGAGCCCGCACAAGCCUUCGUGUACUUCCUGAAUCAACUUAUACGUGUCAGUUUGAUCAAACAACACAGCAACAGGUUGUCGAAGGACUUUUUGUAAAGUAGCCCUUCGACGUCGUAAUAUUUGACUGCCUUGUGUUUUAGUUUUUUGGCCUCCCCCUUGUUGUCAAGAAGUACUCCAUUCUGAAUGAAUGCCAAUAUUGGUUGUCUCCAAUCCUCUUGGGGAUCAGACGAGACACUCAAUAUCUGGCAUGUGUGUUGGAGUAUUGAGUCCACCAAGAUUUCGCGCUGGCCUCCCUCCCAAGCCGAUGCGAGGCGUGCCAGCGCAUCGGCGGGCGUAUUUUGAGUGCGAGAAAUUUGCUCGAUUUUGAACUCGGCGAAUUGUUUGGUGAGUGCCACCAUUGCCUCUAUAUACUUAGUGAUCUGUGGUUCUUUGCAGGCAAAUUCACCCGUGGUUUGCCGAGCAACAAGCUGGGAGUCAGUGCGAAGUGUGACAUUCUCAGCGCCGAGAGUUCUCAACAGCUUCGUGCCGUGUAUAGCUGCAUCGUAUUCCGCGACAUUGUUAGAUGCCGGGAAGUGAAGCCGUACCGAGUGUUCGUAGUUUUUUCCAUCCGGACUAUGGAUUUUUACUCCGAUACUCGAGCCUGUGCUGCAACUCGAACUGUCUACUUCCAUAAUCCAGGGUUGGGCCUGGUUUGACGGUGUGAGCUCGACGAUGAAGUCCGCUACAGCUUGCCCUUUGAUGGCAGUGGCUGGUCGGAAAUCUAAGUCGAACUCACUGAGCUCGAUUUCCCAUUUGGUUAACCUUCCCGAGAUAUCUGGCUUGUUAAGAAGACGGUGUAAGGGACAUGUUGUAAGUACUAUGAACGUGUGCGCUAAGAAGUAGGCUCGAUAACGACGGCAAGCGUGGAUUACAGCAUAUACGAUUUUCUCAAUUGGUGAGUACCGUAUUUCCACACCUUGCGGUCGCCUCGAGUGACAGUAGAUAGGGAUUUGAUCUUGUCCCAUUGCUCUAUGAGGACUGCACUUACGACUUCCUCUGAAGCCGCUAUGUAUAAGUACAGGUCUUCCCUAUCCUUGGGUGAAGUCAGCAUUGGAAGUCAGGACAUAUGUGCUUUUAACUUUGUAAAUACCUCCACACAUUCCGGUAUCCAAGUGUGACUACCCUUACCCGCAGUUUUUAGUAGCUUGAAAAACGGUUUGCAUUUGUCAACCAUUUGCGAUAUGAAACGACUGAGCGCAUUAAUUCGUCCGUUCAACCUUUGUACAUUUCUGAUUGUGCGGGGGGCUUCCAUAUCAAGGAUUGCAUGGAUUUUGUCGGGAUUUGGUUUGAUCCUGUGCUGACCUACAUAGAAACCAAGGAACUUGCCUUCCUUGAUUCCGAAGGAACACUUGACCGGGUUGAGCUUCAUCCCGUAUUGCUUCAAUGUGCCAAGGGUUUCUCUCAGAUCCUCAUGGUGCAUUUCCACGCAUGACGAUUUGACCAAAAUGUCAUCAACGUAAGAGGAAACGUUGCGCCCGAUCUGGUCCGCAAAAACCUUGUCCAUUAAGCGUUGGAAUGUAGCUCUAGCAUUCCUUAAGCCGAAUGUCAUUACUCUGUAACAGAAUGUCCCUGAGUACGUGAUAAAUGAUGUUUUUUCUUCAUCAGGCUCAUGCAUCAGGAUCUGGUUAUAUCCUGAGUGGGCAUCCAUCAUAGAGAGGAGUUCGUUACCAGACACUUCAUCGACUAGUUCGUCAAUAGAUGGGAGCGGGUAACUAUCCUUGGGGCAUGCUUUAUUGAGAUCUAUGAAAUCAAUGCACAUGCGCCACUUGCCAUUGGGCUUUUUGACAAGGACGGGGUAGGCCAACCAAGUCGGAUAUCGAAUCUCUCGAAUGUGUCCAACAUUCAGAAGUUUCAAUAUCUCUUCGUUGGCGGCUUACCGUCUGUCAGAAGUGAGUACUCGACGCUUUUGGCGACGAGCUGGGAUGGAUGGGUCGAUAUUGAGCUUUUGCGUCACGAUUUGACGCGCAAUCUGUGUCGGUGCCUCACCCUCCCAAACGAACCUGUCCUGGUGCUCCUUCAGGACAAUCACAUGCUUGGCCCUUAGGUCAGGGGCUAACCCCUUCCCUAAUACCACGUGUCCCCCUUCAGCUGGUAUAUUUCAGUCUCAUCCAUGGGUUGUAAUUUUUCCCUCUCCCCAUUGUCGGGUGGGGUGUGGACGAGCAUGUUGUUUAGUUUGACCAACUGGGUUGCCUUCUUAUACCCUUGUCUAGAAUUCUUUUGUGAUCCUUUGACAGUUGCGACGAUCCCUUUGACUCGGUAUCGUAUGCACUGGUGAUAAGAAGACGGGACUGCUUUGAUCCCAUGGAUGAAGGGUCGUCCAAAGAUGCCGUUAAAAGUGGAUUCUACUUCUACCACUAUAAAACGACAUGUUCGACUAACCCUUCCUCGCCGGGAUCCGAUGGAGACCUUCAGGUCAAUAACGCUGGCCACCGGGGUGGCGACGUUUGUAAACCCUGUAGAUGGCUUCCUUGCAAGGAGACAGAUCCUCCUUUUUAAGGCCUAUCUUGGUGAAAGUGUCCAUAUAGAGGAUGUCCGCGGAACUGCCACUGUGAACAAUCAUCCUCUCGACACGGGAAGUGGGACCGAUGUCUGCUUGGAUCACGAGUGGAUCCUCAUGAGAUUGCAGGAUAUCGUCCAGGUCCUCUUCAGAGAAGUAUAUCGACUUCUCUUCGCGGACCCGCUUCCCAUUAUCACGAGGUGUUGAUUGUGACAUCAGCACCUUCCGGACAUAUCCCCUAUUAUGGCCAACGGAUCCACCACCAAAUAUCAUAUUGAUGGUUUUCUGUUGGCGGUCCUCGCUACUGUUGUUGUUUGGCGAAUGAGAGUGUGGACGCUUCCCCUUCGGGUCAGACUUACAAACGUCCUGUCCCCGGUAUCCUUUGACAAAGUUGCCAAGUUUACCCUUCGAGAUCAGUUGCUCGACAUAAAGCGAGAACUCCCUAUAAUGGUUCGUCAUGUGGCCGUGGUCCUUGUGGAAUUUACAUAAUCUUCCACCUUUUUUACAGCUACCCUUAGUUGCAGGUUCCAAAGAACGAGGAGCGGGCAGAUCCGCUCGGUUCUUCAGUUUCUCAAACAACUCGCCUUUGCUGAUUGUUAGUGGGGUCCAAUCCUUCCAUGGUUGGGGUGGACCCUUUGACGACUGUUUGGUAGAGGUCUGAUACACCUUGUUGUCGUGUUUGGGCUUCCAUUCCUUUUUGAAGGAAUCAGCCGCAUUGUCAGUGUAUUUGUUCGAGGAGCCAUGAAAAUUGUUCUUCCCAUUGUAGCUCUUCUUCUCGAACCUUGGUUUUUUGAAGCUAGUGCUCUCAAGUUCCACUAGCCUGUUUUCAUUUUCCUCUUCCACCUCAAUGUAUGAUUGAGUUUGCUGGAAGAGGUCUGGUAAAGUCUCCACUUUAUGGAGCAUAAGAUUCUGGGCCAAAGGGGAGUAGGGUACCGGCCCUUUCAUGUACCCCGCUAUGGCCAGACUCGGGAUUAAGUCGCUCACUUCUAUCAUCAUUGAAGUGAACUUAAUCGUAUAAUCCCUUAACGACAGCUUGUUUUGUCGUAGUGCCAGCAGUGCAUUGUCACUGUGUUUAAUCCUGAUCAUCCCCACAUGUUGGGCGAUGAACUUGGACGAGUGGUGUGCAAAGCUGGAGAUUGAUCCAGCUGACAGAUCGGAAAACCUCCGAUAAGCAUUGCCCUUGAGAGUGUCGGGGAAUGCCUGACACAACAGCGCGUUAUCGGUGGUUUGCAAUCAUAGUGGGUUCCUGCAUAAGUUGUGAGACCUUGUUGAUUGGAAAUGUGAGAUCAGGACGUGUGUAAUUAUGGGAUUUUGAAACACAUCGAUGAUCUGUCUAAACAGUAUUGGUUAUUCGAAUGGCACGUACUGGCUGUUGGCUUCACAUUCGAUAAAUUUACCUUGUCCAGGAUCAAAUGAGAUACUGGUGCUUAAUUAAAAACAGGGAACCAUGCAUCUUUGUCGUAAUUAAUAUGAAUGCCCAAAAAAUGGUGUAAAUCUCCGAGCACUUUGAUUUGAAAUAUCUUCGUUUACUGGUCAUUCGUUUGGCGAGCAAAUACGUCCGAUGAACUUGUCAAUAUUAUGUCGUCAACGUAGAUGAGAAAUAGGGCCUCAAUCCCCUCGCCUCUGUAGAAGAAGAGAGAGUGAUCGCUUUUGCUACUUUGAUCUUGAGUCUAAUCAUAGCAUCCCGAAGCCACUGGAACCAUGCCCUUGGGAUUUGCUAGAGUGGUAGAUGGACUUUUUGAGCUGACAUACAUGUGUGGGAAAACCUUUAUUUACGAACUCAGUAUGUUUCUGCAUGAGUACUUGCUCGGAGAGAAUGCCGUGGAAAAAAGCGUUUGAGACGUCCAACUACACGAUAUUCUAUCCUUUUGAAACUGCCCGAGCAAUCGCACUCCUUACAGUCAUCGGCAUGAUUACGGGCACGAAGGUCUCUCCAUAGUCAAUCCCAUCUCGUUGUCGGUAUCCAUUCGCUACUAGACGUGCUUUCCUUCGAUCGAGUGUACCAUCUGGACCCAGCUCAAUUCUUCCGAAAGACCCAUUUGCAAGAGAGCACAUUCUGAUCAGGAGACUGCGCAAUGAGCUCCCAUGUCUGGUUUUCCAUUAAAGCAUUGUAUUCGUCUUUCAUGGCCACUGUCUAAUCCUUGUCUUCUAGAGCCUCGGUCGCACCUGAGGGGAUUGGUAAAGGAGCAGAAAUUUGACAAAUAUAUUUUGGAUUAAGUUUUCAAAUCCCAAUUUGGGACCUUGUAACCAUGUUUUGUCCGUGAAUAUUGAGAGUUUCCUCUGAGGCAUCUGUAUCAAAUAGUUCCCCUAUGGCAGUUGUAUCAUUAACCUAGGUCGGGGGUGCAUUUUCUGUUGUUCCAACUAGGUCUAAGCUUGAAUCGAAACGAGGAACGACGGGCGAUGCUUCUUUCUCGAUAAUGGUCGGAAAACCUGUCAAACCUGGCUCAAGAAACGGAACUGACUCGGUCAAUUGUAAUUUCUGACUUUGAUUGAAAUCUGAUUCAAAAAUCACACAGUCUCUUAAUAUGAUAAUUUCCCCAGAUUUUGGAUUAUAACAGAUAUGCGUACCCUCGGUGGUAUGAUAGAUAGCCAAUAAAUCAGUUCGGUCUAAGAUUAGGGUAAACCAUACAACCGACUACCUGAAUAUCUUGGAAAUUUGGGGCAAAGUUAAACAUUUCUUCAAACGGUGAGUUUCCGUUGAGCGUAGUCUUCGGAGUGCGAUUAUACAAGAAUGCCGCCAUGUGAAAAGCGUAUUGCUAGAACCGAAAUGGAAGACUAUAGUGGUGAAGAAAUACAAGUUCAAUGACGACGAUGUGUCUGUGGCAUCGCCCGUACCCAUCUGGGUAAGUGCAUACGGGCAGGAAAAACGAUGCUCAAUGCCUACUUCAGCAAGAUACAAUCGGAAAGAUCGAAAUAUCCCCCCAUUAUCGGACUGAAUAGCCUUAAUAUUCUUCCCAGUUUACCUCUCGAUGUAUACCCUAAACAAUUUGAAUGAUUGCAUAGCAUCGGACUUGGAUGUUAAGGGAAAAAUCCAGUUGCAUUUGGUGUGAUCAUCCACGUAAUUGACGAAAUAAUAGUGACCGUCAGUGGAUUGUUCAGGAGCCGGUCCCCACAGAUUGACGUAGAUUAGAUCAAGAAGAUAUUUAGAUGAGUUUUCUUGUCUUGAGGGGUGAGGAAGGUGGUGGUGUAGAUCCACAAGAGUGACAGUCGGAAAUUUGAUGUUUAUUUUAUAUUGAUAAAUUGUAUCGUUUUACAAUAUCUAAUGUUAAUUUCGAAGAUUUGUGACCCAGAUGAGCAUGCCAUAAAUCAACCGGAAUUUUUCCAAUGAGAUUGACCUUCGGUUGUGCUGAAUCUCCCAAGUUCACUAAUACAUCCCUUGCCUAUCCUCUUUCACCUGAGCUAUGACAUCUUUAGUUUGCAUAUCAAUCACAUACACAGAUGAUGAGUCGAUGAACAUACCAAAUUUAUUAUCCUUACACAGUUUGUUCACGGAUAAUAAAUUUUGAGAAACAGAGAGGGAACUAUUUGUAGAUCUUUUAUUUCAAAUUCUUUAGAACCCAAUUUGAAAAUCGCAUCUCCUACCUUGGAUGAAAAAAGUACUGAACCAUUUGCUAUUGUAAUUCCUGAAUAUUUCAAGAGAGAAUUAGCAAAUUAUACAAAAAUGCCAUUACCUGAUACAUGACCUUUUGUUCGAAAUCGGGAUUCCAGAGAGCAUUGACUUGUGCCGGAGUUGCAUACACGGUCGAUUUCUUUGCAAUAGACAGUUGUCUUGCGCGAUGUUCCGGUGGAGAAGGGUAUAGAUUUUCAUUGUGCCUAUUGUGACAUGCGAUUGUCAAAUGCCCUUUCUUGCCGCAGAUUUGGCAAGAGACACGUUCCUUAUUGUAGGAUUUCAUCAUAUUUUUAGAUUACAAAGCUUGAGUCAGACCACAAACUUUAGUUUUUAUCAUUUCUUGAUUUAUGAGGUGUACUCGCAUAGUUUGAACUGUCAUGGUGGCAAGCUGGGACGAAAUAAUAGCCACGAUUGACUCAAAAUCAGAGUUAAGACCUCCAAUUGCAUAAAAGAUUAUCUUUGAAUCAGAGAUUACUACGCCCCCUGCUCAAAGAUUUUGAAUCAGUUUAGUUAUUUUGAGAAGGUAAGCCUCCAUUGAUAAUUUGCCUUUCUCAAUUGUCUGAAAAAUCCUUGAGUCGGAUGAAGAAGCAUGGAUCUUUUGUAAUGUGCACCAUACUGAUGCUCAAGAAUCAAGACUGGCCGGUUACCUGUGAUAAUACAACUGAUGAUAGUGUCGAGAAGAUACAACCAAAAAUUAUAUGAUCCUGUUAGAUCUUGAGAUCGUCGUCUAACACGAUCGUGCCUUCAACAUACGGUAGAAGAUCGUAACCAUGCAAGAAGAUUCUGAAUUGUGCUUGCCAGUUGAAGAAGCUCUCAUUCAUAAGUUUCUUAGCAUUCACAUGCUUAAUCUUGACCAGUUUGACCUGCCUAAGGAAGCUGUCGGUGGAAUCAGUCGCCAUGCCUUAUUACAGAAGUAAGAACCGCAGAGGUGGAGUAGUAGAAAUAAACAUAAACGACCCAAGAUCGAAGAGUCUAACUAACGUCUUAUACCAUAUUGUAACUAAAUCGGAGUGAUUGAUUCUAUUUUCACUUUUUCAUACAAUGCUCAUUACAGUAUUUAUUUAUACUAUUAUUUAGUUAGUUACAUCUAACCACAAAUUGUUAGUUUAAUCAAUCUGGAUUAGAUUUGCCUAAUAUGUAACACCCUAGAACCUGGCAAGAUUUCCUUUUGGCUCAUGUACAUGAUCUACGCAUAAGUUACUUUCAUAUGUUAGGUAUAGGUAUUAGGUUCGGUAACAUAAACUCCUAUAAUUGAUCAUCUACUGAGUAACCUAUCAAACUAUUGACACGAUAAUUGAUGGUAUGCUCGAUUCGUACGUAUACCGACUAUCUAUGGACCAGACGAUAAGUUGGGUAUAUAUAGGUAUUCUCCCCCUCCCCAACCUAAGAGGUGAUGCGAUUGGGAAAAAAUAAAAAAUAAAAAUACUCUGCUUCAUCAUUAGGUCUCUAUUUAGACAUACUUUCAUUUGCCAAAAUCGUAGGAUAACAAAAAAAAUCACCGAAAAUCCCCAAAUUUUGGCUAUUUUUAAGAGUAAAUGCCUGAGUGUCAACCUGGGAUGAUUCUUUUGUGAACUGAGGUCCCACACCUUAGUGGACCAUUCAUACUCUUUUUACCCACUAGUUUAGGUAUUUUAUAAUUAAAUCAUAAAGUUAAAGAUAAUGUAUGUUAAGAAAAUAUAAUAUGUAUUUUUAUAAUUAAAACCCUAAACUAUAUUAAUAUAUUAUAUAAUAUAUGUUAUAAUUUCCGGAUCCGGAUCUGGCUAAUUAGGACCCAGAACCGGAUACAGACUAAUUAACGGUCAGGUCCAAAAUGUUUAAUGGGGCUAAAAUCAAUCCCAGACCCAAACGACCGGGUCCACCCAGACCCAUUUGUUGGAUCGAGAUCUGAGGCUAUAAGGGGGGAUAAUAACCUCUUUUUCGAUUAGGCAGGUUAAAUGCGGAAUUACCUGCAAAUACUUGAUACACAAAUGGUUGAAUAACAAUAAAAAGAUUAUAAUAUUAUAUCUUACAAUAUAAUAUUAUAUAUAUUUAUAUUCAUGCCUUUUCUCUUCAAAGCUUACUACAGUAUAUGAAUACUGAGUCGGCUUAUUAGAUAGUGCUUUAUAAACAACUGUAUUAUAUAGAUACUAAGUUAUAUUAUAAGUGCAUGUUAUAGUAUUAGAGUAAAGGACUAGUGAACUGGAUAUAAGAUGAUAAGUAAAUAACUGACCAGAUAACUGGAUAUAUAUGAUAAGUAAAUAUCUGACCAGAUAACUGGAUAUAUAUGAUAAGUAAAGAGUUGACAAGAUAAAUGGAUAGAGAUUUGAACAAUAAAUAUAACCUCAGAUACUUGACCAGAUAACUGGAUGAGGGAUCUGUAGAAAGUAGUCAACCUCUAUACUUGACCAGAUAACUGGAAGAGGGAUCUUUUUUAUUAAGUGUUGCUUAGACAAUAAAUAAAACUAAAGUUAACAAAGAAAAAUACAAAAUAUUUAUACUGGUUCACCCAAACAAGGGCUAGUCCAGUCCUGACAAACUAUCGGAAUUCACUGGCCUAAAGGUAAUGGCAAAACCUUAGAGUAUCAAGGAAACUCUUAAGAAUCUCUAACUUUUACGGGUAAGUUAGUACCUUAGAGUAUCAAGAAACUCUUAAAAACCUCUCUAAGCUUUAAGGCUACUUCGCUUAAGAACCAGUCUUUUACGGGUAGACUCACACCUUAGAGUAUUAUGGAACUCUUAAAAACCUCUAACUUUUACGGGUAAGUUAGGACCUUAGAGUAUUAAGGAAUUUUUAAAAUCCUUUCUAAAUCUUUCAAGGUAGAUUUCACCUAAGAGUUUUUCCGGAAACUCUAUAAAACCAAACAAGAGUUUUUUGGUUGAGCUCAAAAACCUUCUCUCACACUUUGAUGAUAUUGAGACAAACCUCUCAACCAAUGUGGACACACACAAGUGAGGAUUAGAGGAGUGGAAUGUUUAAAGCACACAAAACUUCUUACUUGUAAAGAUGAACAAGAAGGUUAGAAUUAGAAGUUGGAGUGCUUUGAAGCUUUUAGAAGCUUGGACACUUGAGAGCUUUUGGAAGCAAGAACACUUUGUAGAUCUCAAGAUAUGGAGUGGAAGCUCUUUGAAAUACUUUGGGUGUGGUGAACGAAAAUGGAGGGUCUGGACCUCUAUUUAUAGCCUAGGUCAUCACUUGUCUACCCUUAGAUCUUCAAUGGAUGGUUCAUUGAUUCCUCACAAAAGUUUAAGAUUUUGUCUUCCCAAGAAGCUUGAAUAUAGUUGAAGCUUGCUUUUUGUAGAUAUGAUUUCAAUCAAGGAUAUCUUUGUCCCUUUGAGAAGAUUCACUUGUGAAUAUAUCUUUUGCUCCUUGGUUAUUGUUCCUUGACUAAAAUGUUAGAGAUAACAAUAAUAAUUAUAUUCAAGGUAUUUAUGCAAUUGAACCAAUUCGAUUUUGACUUUGAUUAAACCCUUGACUUAAUUAAUUUAAUUUAGGUCUAAUCUUGACUAAUUUUACCCUUUGGGUUAAUAGUGUAAUUAGGAUAAAAUUAACAUGAUUAAAAUAUAAUCCUAAAUUGACAAUUUUGAUUCUACAUUCUCCCCCUUUGUCGAUGGCAUAUAUGUUUUAAUUCAUGUUUAGUCAAUAUUUUAAUUUACCCUUCUGAGCAUGCUCCCCCUGAAUUAUUGACUUAUAAUAUUCAGUUUAAAAUAGUGAGUAAUAUAUCUCCCCCUUAAAACAAUAAGGUAUUGACGAAGUUAAAACUUGAUACCUGAGUAUCUCCCCCUUAAUAAUAGAACAUAUCGAAUUUGUGGAGAAAAUAAAAGUUCAUACCUCAUUGAGCUUGAUCACAAAUUUGAGUUUCAUGGUUGACCAAAUGUGACUUUUAGCUUAUAAGAGUGUUAGUCAAUCAUAUAUAUAGGAGAAAUAUAAUUUUGCUCAUUUGUGAAAAAUAUGAGUGUUAAUUUUGAUAUACAUUUUAAGGCAAGUAUAUAUGAUAUGAUGAAUUUAAUUGCCUUUGUGUUAAGAUCAUGCAAUGAAUAAUAAUCCAUGUGUGUGUUAUGGAUGAAGAUGAUGUUAACAUAUAUGCAGUAUAUGGAUUAAAGAUAUUAUGAUGUUAUAAUCCAUAAAAUAUUUUAGUGAAUGAAUGAUAUGUAUGCAUAAAACAUGAUUCGCUAAUGACUUUAAGAAGAUUUAAGCACUUAAAGUUUAAAGUAGUAUAUGGAUUAAAGAUAUUAUGAUGUUAUAAUCCAUAGAAUAUUUUAGUGAAUGAAUGAUAUGUAUGCAUAAAACAUGAUUCGCUAAUGACUUUAAGAAGAUUUAAGCACUUAAAGUUUAAAAUCUAUGUUUUAGUGGCUAAUAUGUAAUCAUGUAAAUAUCCACUAAGUUUUAAAGAUUUGAAAACUUUCAUUUCAGUCCUUAAAGUCUUAAUAAAACUUCACUCAAAGAAUUUCAUUUAAGCCAUUUGAAGUUAUUAUAAAUACGUAGAUUAAUACUUAAAAAAUUUCAUUUUAGACCUUGGAAUUAUUAAAUAUUUCUAGGCAUUUUUCGAUUAAAAACUUCAUGUAGAUAUUUAUUCUAAGUUCUUGAAGUUUUAAAUACCAAUUUAUUUGAAAAAUAUCGCUUAACUCCUCAAGUUUAGUGAAUUUUUCAUGUAUUACUUCAUAAAAUUUUUCAUUUUAUCCCUUGAAGUUGUAAUACUUAACCAUGCAUGCAGUCUUUAGAUGUUUUAAAUUUAUGUGAACUUAGUUCUAUCCUUACAUGCAUACCCUUAUAUGAAGAUAAAAGAUUUUAAAUAAAACAUUAAUCUUCAUAUUGAUGAUAAGGGAAAUACAAAGUUAAUCUCAUACACAAUGAGAUUUAAGAUCAUUAAAGGAUUUUCAAGAUGGCAUAGAUAGAACAUUAACAUAAGAUACGAUGAUACCAAAACAUCAAGGUACGCGAUGAGACAAAAACCUAGGCAACAAAAUAUUAACACUAUGGUUAAUCAGUGAUGGUGCUGGCUUCUUUAGUGGGAGCUUCUAAUAGAUCAAUUUGAUGUUGCAUGUCGGCGAUCAGAUCUCUUUGGUUUUUAAUACUUGACUCAAGCAAUUUAAUCCUUGAUUUUGCCUCAUCGAUCUCCUUAAGCCAGUGAGUAGUUGUCUCAUCUUUGGUUGUGGAUUGACUCUCCUGCUUCUUCCCUUUGUCUUUUAUAAGAUCCAUCACCUUUUUCCAAUCUGGAUCAUAAGAACCCAUUUUGAAAUGGAAGAGGUAGGAAUGGGUGAGUUUCGGUUUUGGUUUUUUGAGGAUCUUUAUGAGUAUGAGAAGUGUGAUUUAACUCACUGGUUUCUUGAUUUAAAUAAGCCUUGGGGAGUGACCUUUGAGCUUGUCGUGUAAGCUUGGGAGAAGUAAUUUUCAGUUUGACUGAUAUUGCUUGUUAAGUUUAACAAAUGAUAAUGAAGAUAUUUUGAAAAUAUCAUCUAAGCAUAGGGUUUUGUCUAAUUCUUGAAGAGAUCUUAUGAUGAUGAUCUAUGAUAUCAGCUAAGUGUAGAGUUUUUAAUAUCGAGUAUAACCCUAGAUGAAAUCUCAUGAUGAUGAUCUAAGAUAUCAGCUACUUAUAGAGUUUUUAAAGAGAUUCUGGCUGAUGUCUUGCUUAACAGGAGAUUUCUGAUCUUCUCCUGAGCUAAAAGAUCAUAAUUACCAAGCUGAGUUGAUUAGCUUGAUUUGAUAUGAAGCAUAGGGCAGAUCAUAAUUAAUCUGAUUUUCUACUAUUUAGGUAUACAACAGUUGAUAUAAAAGAUAUUUAAUCAUACCUUUUGAUCAUUCCAAGUCGCAUUUCUGCAGCGGAUAGAUUUGGUGCAGAUUGUCGCGAUUCUUUUUGAGUAGCUGCAACAAGGAUUCGGCUGUUGCAGGCGAUGCUCAAGUGAGUUGACACUCGUGCAGGUGUUACUGUGAUGCAGAAUGUCGCGAUCUUCCGAUUGUAGCGUGGAUUGUGAAGAUAUUCAUCGAGUUUUGGCUCACGCGAUUGUAGAAGAUUUAAUUGCGUACAGUGUGCCGUGAGUCGAAUUCAUAGCGUUUUAAAGUCUUACCAAGACAUGUGUGUGCAAUAGUAUAUCAUGUAGUUUAUGUUUGAUUGCACAUAUUUUAACGUAAUUGGUAAAUAAGUCAUAGAUCAAUUCAUGUAUGACUUUAGUAAUUAAAGCAUAAUCACAUAUCAUGUGGUUAAUUGAUUAGCAUAAUUUUAAUUUAAGUAAGCAUGAUGUGUGUGCUGUAUGUCAAUAUAUAUGUCAUAGAUAAUCUUUAAUUUUCAUACAUAAUUUAACUCAUAGUAAUAUAAGCAUAUCCAUGUAAGUAGCAUACAAUGUAUUAAUAGUUUUCGAUUGUAAGUAUGCAUGUAAUUUAUAGUAAUAUGGCAUAUACGAGAGUCAUGCAUUUAAGUUAAGCUCUUCAUUUUAUCAUGCAUGUGUUUAUAUGUUAUAGUCUCAAAUCAUGCGUAAGAUCAUGUGUAUGCAAGUUUGAAUUUUAAUAAGCAUGAGUAGAUUCAUUUAUCUUUUAUGCAUGUAUUAAAGUAUCAUGCAUUUGAUGAAUUACAUUAACAUCUAUAUACUUAGUCAUGUUAGUCUUAGAUUUUAAUUUGUAAAUUCAUGCGUACGUAUAUUCAUUUUAAUGUGAUCUUAGUUUGAAUCAUGAUCAAGGUUAUAAGCGUAAAGAUAUUCAAGUAAAGAAUAUUAAGACUAAAGCAUAAGAUGCAUUAACUUAUGACCAAUUAAAUAUUUAUCAAAUUUCACUAAGCUCACAUAUACCCAUAGAUCAUCUGAUUUUCGAAUGAACUUCCUGAUCUAGGGGUUUAGUAAAGAUGUCAGCCAUUUCAUCUUCAGUAGAAAUAUAUUCUAGGCAGAUAUUUUUCUUUUCUACAUGAUCUCUAAGGAAAUAAUGUCUGACAUCAAUGUGUAUAGGUCUUGAAUGUAACACAGAGUUUUUUGAUAAACAAAUUGCACUCUUGUUAUCACAUUUAAAAGCUAUUGUUUCUAAAGCUACAUCGUACUCGGAUAAUGUUUGUUUCAUCCACAACAUUUGAGCGCAUGCAUUAGAUGCUGUCAUAUAUUCUGCUUCAACUAUGGAUAAAGCAAUACUAUUUUGCUUUUUACAUGACCAUGCUACCAGUGAGCUUCCCAACAGAAAGCAUGUUCUACUAGUGCUUUUUCUGUCAGUCUUACAUCCACCAAAGUCAGCAUCACAGUAUGCUGUCAGUGUGAAUGAGUUGUCCUUAGGGUAGAAUAAUCCAACUGUAACUAUUCCUUUGAUAUUCCUGAUUAUUCUUUUAACCGCUUUGAGAUGUGACUCUUUUGGGUCUGAUUGAAAUCUGGCACAUAAGCAGACUGCAAACAUGAUGUUUGGUCUGCUUGCUGUUAAGUAUAGCAGUGAUCCAAUCAUUCCUCUGUAUUUCUUAGUGACUAUUGAUUAACCUUCAACAUCUUUAUCCAAUUUAAGCGUUGAACUCAUAGGAGUUGGCAUAGGAUUUUGAUUCAGUCAAGUCAAAUUUCUUUAUCAAUUCCUUAGCAUAUUUGACUUGGCUUAGAAAUAUUCCAUUCUCCUUCUGUUUGACUUGUAGACCUAACAAAAAAGUCAACUUUCCCAUCAUACUCAUUUCAAAUUAAUCUUCCAUUUGUUUGGAGAAUUUCUUACACAGAGUAGCAUCGGUUGAUCCAAAUAUAAUGUCAUCAACAUAGAUUUGGAUUGGAAUAAUGUCUCUUUUGACAUUUUUAAUGAAAAAUGUGUUAUCUAUACUCCCCAUUCUAAAUUCCUGAGAAAUGAGAACGUUUCUUAGUCUUUCAUACCAAGCUCGGGGUGCUUGUUUCAGAUCAUAGAGGGCUUUCUUAAGUUUAAGAACAUGAUCAGGGUUUUGGUAAUCUUCGAAUCCGGGGGGUUGUCUGACAUAUACUUGUUCAUUUACUAUUCCAUUCAAGAAUGCACUCUUUACAUCCAUUUGAUAUAAUCUGAAAUCCUUGUAGCACGCAAAGGAUAGGAGCAUUCUGAUGGAUUCUAGUCUAGCUAUUGGUGCAAAGGUUUCAUCAUAAUCUAUUCCUUCUUGUUGAUUGUAUCUUUGAGCAACCAGUCUAGCUUUGUUUCUGACUGUAGUUCCAUCAUCAUCCAGCUUGUUUCCGAAUACCCAUCUUGUUCCAAUGAUUGAUGUAUCUUUUGGCUUUGAAACUAGUUCCCAUAGAUCAUUUCUCUCAAAUUGGUUGAGUUCUUCUUGUAUAGCUUGAAUCCAGUAGUUAUCGUCGAGGGCUUCAUCAACUUUCUUGGGCUCAAUUUGAGAGACAAAACAGUCAAGAACACUGUUUCUUUGAAUGGAUGAUCUGGUUCUAACACCAGCUUGAUGGUCACCAAUCAUUUGAUCAGUGGAGUGUGGGUUUCUGAGUAACCUGUUGGAUGGAGGCUCAGAGACUUCGAUUUCGUCAUUGGUAGUUUCUUCAGUUGGAAUGAUGAUUUCUGGCUCUGGAACUAUUUCGUCUUCUUCUAUAAUGGUUGUCUGAGUGGAUUCAUCAAAGUCAUCGUGUAAUGAUUCGAUCAUUAUUUGUUUUUCUUUGAGAAUAAUUUUGUACGCUUUGCUCCUUCUAGAGUAUCCUACCAGAAUACCUUCAUCAGACUUCUUAGCAAAUUUGUCUUGGUUGCCUCUUGUUCGGAGAACGUAACAUUUGCAUCCAAAGACCUUGAUAUAUGAGACUUUUGAUUUUCUUCCAUUCCAUAUCUCAUAUGGAGUUUUGUUCAAGGUUUUUCUUAUAAUCACCUUGUUUAGUAUAUAACAGGAUGUGUUAACAGCUUCUGCCCAGAGAUACUGUGGUGAAUCAUGUUCUUGUAACAUAAAUCUACUCAUCUCUUAUAGAGUUCUAUUUUUCCUUUCAACAACUCCAUUCUGAGGGGGUGCUUGGGGAAAAGAAAAUUCAUAUUUUAUUCCAUGAGUUUUGCAAAAAAUUUCAAACUCAGAGUUCUCGAAUUCUCCUCCAUGAUCACUUCUGAUUCUUUUUAUGGCGACAUCCUUCUCAUUUUGUACAUGUGUACAAAAUGAUGAGAACUCGUUGAAUGAGUCACUCUUAUUUCGUAAGAAGAAUACCCAAGUAAACCUUGAGUAAUCAUCUAGUAUUACAUAUGUGAACCUUUUUCCGCCAAGACUUUGAGUUUGGGUUGGCCCAAAUAAGUCGAUGUGUAGAAGUUACAAAGGUCUGGACGUAGUAAUAUCUGUAAGGGAUUUGAAUGAGCUUUUAUGCCGUUUCCCUUUUUGACAAGCAUCACAGAGAUUUCUUUUCUCAUAUGCUAUUUUAGGUAGUUCAGUCACCAGUUCUUCUUUUGAUAGUUUGGAUAAUCGAGAGUAACUGGUGUGACCUAACCUUCUAUGCCAUAAGGUCUUUUCAUCAUUUGCUACAAUCAUGUAGAAGUCAUGAGUUGGCUUGGAGGGACUAAAGGUUAUGGAAUAAGCAUUGUUUUUCCUAUAUCCUUUAGCAAUUAUAACUCCUUUGGAGUUAAUGAUUGAGUAUAGAUAUUUUUCAAAUUUAACUAUGCAAUAAUUAUCACAUAAUUAGCUUAUGCUGAUAAGAUUGUCUUUAAGGCCAUUAACUAAGUAGACAUCUCUAAGAAAAGGUGUAUCUAUAUUACCUAUAUUACCUAUACCUAUAAUGGUACCUUCGUUGUUGUCAGCGAACUUGACCUUCUUAGUAGUAGGCCAGUCGGUCAAAUCUGUCAGCAGACUUGAAUCGCCAAUCAUGUGCCUUGUGCAUCUACUGUCGAACAACCAUUUUGACACCUGUUUUUCCUGAAAUAGUUGAAGAAUCUUUUGGUACCCAUACUGUGUUGGGUCCAGAUGAAUUAACAUAGUUGAUUUGCUUAUAAUUUUUUAACUCAUCCUUGGUCAUCCAUUUUUGUUUUGGAUGAUUGAUUCAUCUUAGCUAUAUUUUUCUUUUUCUUAAGAUGAAUAGGUUUUUUGUAGCUAGAUUCUCUCACAAAAUAAUUAUUAUAAGUUAAAGCAUGUGGAGGUUUUUUGAUAGGUGCAUCUGAUUAAAACCCUAAGCCAAAUUUCUUUUGACCUGAGCUUGAACCUUGCAACAUGUCAUCUAGCUUGGUUGAUCUAUUUAAGAAUUUUUCAAUAACAUUAUUCUUUUGAUCUAUUCUUUUGAUUUGUAAUUGUAUGUUAUUAUAUUUUUCAGAUAAUUUUUGUAUAGUUUCUAUAUGCUCAAGUAUGAUUUUAUCCUUAGAUUCUAUAUCUGUUUUGAGCAUGAUUGAUUCUUUUUUUUUUAACAUAAUAUCUUCUUCAAAAUUAUCUAUUUUUAAUUCUAGCAAUUCAAUCUUAUCUUCAUCUAUUUCCUUAGGUUGAUUCUCUUCAGAUUCUAAAAUAUUAAGCAAUUCAAAGUUUUGACUCUUAAGUAUCUUAAUUUUUUCUUUAUCUUUGUUUAAUUUACUUGUGAGUUUUAGAUUUCUUUCUUUCAAUUGCAUGUAUUCUUUUUGUGAUUCUUCUAAUUUAAUAGAUUGAUCUAUGUGUGAUUUAUUCAUGCAUUCUAGUUUUAAUGACUUAGUUAAUUUUUUCUCUUUUUUAUAUUUUUCCAUUAACUCUAGAUAUGCUUCUUCUAAAGAAUUAAAUCUAGUAUUUAGAAAACUUACCUCAGAGUCGCUUUCAUGAGCCAUGAGGCAGUCUUCUUGAUCCGAGUCAGAGUCUGUCCAUUGUGCAUGAUUUUCUUUAUCUCUCUUUAGCAAAGGACAUUCUGGUUUGAUGUGUCCAGGCUUGUAGCAUAUAUGACAGAUUCGUUCUUUUGACUCCUUGCUCAUUUUUCUGUCGAACUUCUGAUGACUUGACCUUGAGUCUUUCUUCUCUUUCCUCUUUUUUAGAUAUCUUCUCAGAUGAUUAGUGAUCAUUGCUAGAUCAUCCUCUGAUGUUUCAUUGUCAGAUUGACUUUUAAGAGCAAUAUCCUUUUUCUCUUCUUUAGCUCUAGAGAUGAAUCUUUCUUUUUCAUAAGCCAUCAGAUUUCCACAGAGUUCCACGACUGUAAGUUUGUUGAGAUCAUGAGCCUCUUGGAUAGCAUUCCUUUUGGAGUAGUACUUGUUUGGAAGGCUCCUCAGAAUUUUGCUUACUUACUUUUUCUCAGUUACUGGAUCCCCUAGUCCAGCCAGAUCAUUGACUAUUUGUGAUAGUCUAAUGUUCAUUUCUGCGAUAGUCUCGUCUUCCCUCAUAGAGAAUCUUUCAAACUGAGAGGUAGCAUGUAACAACUUGUUUUCUUUAACAUGGGAGGUUCCUUCAUGCAGAUCCUCCAAUGCUUUCCAUACCUUGUGAGUUGUAUCUAAGCAUUGAAUUCUACUAUACUAAGAUUCAUUGAGUGCCCCGUAUAGAGCAUUCAAUGCUCUUGAGUUGUUGUUUUCCUUGAGGAUAUCCAUUUCUCCCAAAGUCUCUUCUUUGCUUGUUGGAAUUUCAUAGUCUUCCAAUGUGAUCUUCCAGACUCCAUUGUUGAUUGACUUCAAGUAUAACUUCAUCUUGUUUUUCCAGAAGUCAUACUUUACUUCAUCGAACCUAGGGGUUUGUUCGAUGCAAGACCAGUACUGUAUUCACCAUUUGGUUCCAUAGUUGUUGUUGUGAGAUGUUAGUCUGACUUCAACGCAACUUGGCUCUGAUACCACUUGUUUGAUCGAGAUUCGAGGCUAUAAGGGGGGAUAAUAGCCUCUUUUUCGAUUAGGCAGGUUAAAUACGGAAUUACCUGCAAAUACUUGAUACACAAAUGGUUGAAUAACAAUAAAAAGAUUAUAAUAUUAUAUAUAUUUAUAUUCAUGCCUUUUCUCUUCAAAGCUUACUACAGUAUAUGAAUACUGAGUCAGCUUAUUAGAUAGUGCUUUAUAAACAACUGUAGUAUAUAGAUACUGAUGGGGGUGAAACCCGACCAGUACUCCAAGACGCGCAAGCAAGCGCCAUGCGGGGAACUCCGCGGGAAACCGGACCGGAACUCAAGUGUGCAGAGCUCUGCUUCGCUAGGAAUCCUUUCGCUCCAAAAAUCCUGCCUUUAAUGAGUGGGGGGUGCCCUCUAUUUAUAGGGGUUCUUAUGGGGGCAAUCUGGUCAUUUGGGCAGUAACCGCCUAACUGCCCAACUGAUCAGAUUGGGUCCAGGGGUCGACUUUCCAGAGAUCGACUUUCUGGGGGUCGACUUUUCCUGGUGAUCGACUUUACUCAAAAGUCGAUCCCAGGGAAGUCGAUCCUCAGGAAAGUCGAUCUUCCUAGGAUUCGACCUGGGACCUCCACAACCCUAGAAUAGAUACCUCAACUCAUCUUAGGCUAUCCGGACUUCUAGUUGCUGGUAGGUUGUGACCGUGUUCGGGAUACUGUAUCACCAGUACUCCCCCCUCCUCUGCGUAUUAGAUACUUUGGGAUACGUCUUUUAGUACUAUGGUGUGUGUGUCGGACCCUGUACUAUCAGUCUUCCCCCCCUCUUUGCGUGCUGGGAUGUGGAUUUCUGGUGAUGUCCCUGGAUGUAAGAUCCUCUCUCACCAGUACUCCCCCCCUUCCACGCCUGCGAGGUUGUAUCUAUGCUUCCACGGAGGUUGUCACGUGCUUUUGCCAACUAUUGUCCGGUUUGUCC